Molecule: transfer RNA, 62 nt
Filed under: Endeis sp. JZ-2022
Lineage: Eukaryota; Metazoa; Arthropoda; Pycnogonida; Pantopoda; Endeidae
Description: tRNA-Thr
Source: RNAcentral
GUUUUAAUAGUUAAAUUAUAACCAUGAUUUUGUAUGUCAUAAUUAGCUUAAGCUUUAAAACU